GACGAACGUUGGCGGCGUGCUUAACACAUGCAAGUCGAACGGAAAGGCCCUGCUUUUGUGGGGUGCUCGAGUGGCGAACGGGUGAGUAACACGUGAGUAACCUGCCCUUGACUUUGGGAUAACUUCAGGAAACUGGGGCUAAUACCGGAUAGGAGCUCCUGCUGCAUGGUGGGGGUUGGAAAGUUUCGGCGGUUGGGAUGGACUCGCGGCUUAUCAGCUUGUUGGUGGGGUAGUGGCUUACCAAGGCUUUGACGGGUAGCCGGCCUGAGAGGGUGACCGGCCACAUUGGGACUGAGAUACGGCCCAGACUCCUACGGGAGGCAGCAGUGGGGAAUAUUGCACAAUGGGCGGAAGCCUGAUGCAGCAACGCCGCGUGCGGGAUGACGGCCUUCGGGUUGUAAACCGCUUUCGCCUGUGACGAAGCGUGAGUGACGGUAAUGGGUAAAGAAGCACCGGCUAACUACGUG
RNAcentral lists this ribosomal RNA (467 nucleotides) under uncultured bacterium. RNAcentral describes it as "partial 16S ribosomal RNA". It matches the Rfam family "Bacterial small subunit ribosomal RNA", at positions 28 to 507 of the family's 1533-position model. The record is from RNAcentral.